This 1377-nucleotide ribosomal RNA is filed under the name bacterium NLAE-zl-P620. Its description in RNAcentral is "16S ribosomal RNA". It matches the Rfam family "Bacterial small subunit ribosomal RNA", at positions 54 to 1425 of the family's 1533-position model. The record is from RNAcentral.
CAUGCAAGUCGAGCGAAGCGAUUUCAAGGUAAGUUUUCGGAUGGAAUUGAAAUUGACUGAGCGGCGGACGGGGUGAGAUAACGCGCUGGGUAACCUGCCUCAUACAGGGGGAUAACAGUUGGAAACGACUGCUAAUACCGCAUAAGCACACAGUGCCGCAUGGUACGGUGUGAAAAACUCCGGUGGUAUGAGAUGGACCCGCGUCUGAUUAGGUAGUUGGUGAGGUAACGGCCCACCAAGCCGACGAUCAGUAGCCGACCUGAGAGGGUGACCGGCCACAUUGGGACUGAGACACGGCCCAAACUCCUACGGGAGGCAGCAGUGGGGAAUAUUGGACAAUGGGGGAAACCCUGAUCCAGCGACGCCGCGUGAGUGAAGAAGUAUUUCGGUAUGUAAAGCUCUAUCANCAGGGAAGAAAAUGACGGUACCUGACUAAGAAGCCCCGGCUAACUACGUGCCAGCAGCCGCGGUAAUACGUAGGGGGCAAGCGUUAUCCGGAUUUACUGGGUGUAAAGGGAGCGUAGACGGCACUGCAANUCUGGAGUGAAAGCCCGGGGCUCAACCCCGGGACUGCUUUGGAAACUGUGGUGCUGGAGUGCANGAGAGGUAAGUGGAAUUCCUAGUGUAGCGGUGAAAUGCGUAGAUAUUAGGAGGAACACCAGUGGCGAAGGCGGCUUACUGGACUGUAACUGACGUUGAGGCUCGAAAGCGUGGGGAGCAAAACAGGAUUAGAUACCCUGGUAGUNCNCCNCCGUAAACGAUGAAUACUAGGUGUUGGGGAGCAAAGCUCUUCGGUGCCGCCGCUAACGCAAUAAGUAUUCCACCUGGGGAGUACGUUCGCAAGAAUGAAACUCAAAGGAAUUGACGGGGACCCGCACAAGCGGUGGAGCAUGUGGUUUAAUUCGAAGCAACGCGAAGAACCUUACCAAGUCUUGACAUCGGAAUGACCGGGAUGUAACGAUCCCUUCCCUACGGGGCAUUCCAGACAGGUGGUGCAUGGUUGUCGUCAGCUCGUGUCGUGAGAUGUUGGGUUAAGUCCCGCAACGAGCGCAACCCUUAUCCUUAGUAGCCAGCANGUNGUGGUGGGCACUCUGGGGAGACUGCCAGGGAUAACCUGGAGGAAGGUGGGGAUGACGUCAAAUCAUCAUGCCCCUUAUGAUUUGGGCUACACACGUGCUACAAUGGCGUAAACAAAGGGAAGCAAAGGAGCGAUCUGGAGCAAACCCCAAAAAUAACGUCUCAGUUCGGAUUGUAGUCUGCAACUCGACUACAUGAAGCUGGAAUCGCUAGUAAUCGCGGAUCAGAAUGCCGCGGUGAAUACGUUCCCGGGUCUUGUACACACCGCCCGUCACACCAUGGGAGUUGGUAACGCCCGAA